RNAcentral lists this ribosomal RNA (448 nucleotides) under Reophax sp. RNAcentral describes it as "partial small subunit ribosomal RNA". It matches the Rfam family "Eukaryotic small subunit ribosomal RNA", at positions 1160 to 1467 of the family's 1831-position model. Lineage: Eukaryota; Foraminifera; Lituolida; Reophacidae. The record is from RNAcentral.
AAGGGCACCACAAGAACGCGUGGAGCAUGUGGCUUAAUUUGACUCAACGCGGGAAAUCUUACCGGGUCCGGACACACUGAGGAUUGACAGGCAAUAUUAAAAUAGUAUCUUUUUUUUAUUAUUUUAUGUUAAAUAUGCUAGUCCUUUCAUGAUUAUGUGAUAGGUGGUGCAUGGCCGUUCUUAGUUCGUGGAGUGAUCUGUCUGCUUAAUUGCGUUUCACUAAGGGCUUAUAAAUUUACGUGUGUUUGCAACACUUUGACCCCUACAUUUUAUGUAGCGCGUUGUCUUAGUGUUUUUGCUCGCACAAUUAAGUCCUGAAAGCAACGAACGUGACCGCAACCUCUUGUUGCCUCUUGCUCAAUCCUUAAGGAUUAAUUUUUAAUGAUUUAUUUUGUUAAUUAUUUUUUUUUUAAGAAAAAGGGGCUUUUUAAACUAGAGGGUCCGCUGU